Molecule: ribosomal RNA, 253 nt
Filed under: uncultured bacterium
Lineage: Bacteria
Description: partial 16S ribosomal RNA
Rfam family: Bacterial small subunit ribosomal RNA
Source: RNAcentral
UACGGGGGGGGCAAGCGUUGUUCGGAAUUACUGGGCGUAAAGGGCUCGUAGGCGGCCAACUAAGUCAGACGUGAAAUCCCUCGGCUUAACCGGGGAACUGCGUCUGAUACUGGAUGGCUUGAGUUCGGGAGAGAGAUGCGGAAUUCCAGGUGUAGCGGUGAAAUGCGUAGAUAUCUGGAGGAACACCGGUGGCGAAGGCGGCAUCCUGGACCGAUACUGACGCUGAGGAGCGAAAGCCAGGGGAGCAAACGGG